GGCCUACCAUGGUGGUAACGGGUAACGGGGAAUUAGGGUUCGAUUCCGGAGAGGGAGCCUGAGAAACGGCUACCACAUCCAAGGAAGGCAGCAGGCGCGCAAAUUACCCAAUCCCGACACGGGGAGGUAGUGACAAUAAAUAACAAUACGGGGCUCUUUCGGGUCUCGUAAUUGGAAUGAGUACAAUUUAAAUCCCUUAACGAGGAACAAUUGGAGGGCAAGUCUGGUGCCAGCAGCCGCGGUAAUUCCAGCUCCAAUAGCGUAUAUUAAAGUUGUUGCAGUUAAAAAGCUCGUAGUUGAAUUUCGGGAUUGACACAUCGGUCGUGCCUUAAGGGGUAUGAACUGGUGUAGUCAAUUUCUCACCUUCUGGAGAACCGCGAUGCCCUUAAGUGGGGGUGGCGGGGAACCAGGACCUUUACUUUGAAAAAAUUAGAGUGUUUAAAGCAGGCAUUUUGCGGGGGAUACAUUAGCAUGGAAUAAUAAAAUAGGACGGCAUGAUUCUAUUUUGUUGGUUUCUAGGAUCACCGUAAUGAUUAAUAGGGAUAGUUGGGGGCAUUAGUAUUCAAUUGUCAGAGGUGAAAUUCUUGGAUUUAUUGAAGACUAACUACUGCGAAAGCAUUUGCCAAGGAUGUUUUCAUUAAUCAAGAACGAAAGUUAGGGAUCGAAGACGAUCAGAUACCGUCGUAGUCUUACCAUAAACUAUGCCGACUAGGAAUCAGACGAUGUUAUUUUUUAUGACUCGGUUUGGCACCUUACG
RNAcentral lists this ribosomal RNA (757 nucleotides) under uncultured Glomeromycotina. RNAcentral's name for it is "SSU rRNA". It matches the Rfam family "Eukaryotic small subunit ribosomal RNA", at positions 338 to 1092 of the family's 1831-position model. The record is from RNAcentral. Lineage: Eukaryota; Fungi; Glomeromycota.